AACGCGAAGAACCUUACCUGGGCUCGAAAUGUAGUGGAAUCCGGCAGAAACGUCGGCGUCUAGCAAUAGACCGCUAUAUAGGUGCUGCAUGGCUGUCGUCAGCUCGUGUCGUGAGAUGUUGGGUUAAGUCCCGCAACGAGCGCAACCCUUAUCUUCAGUUGCCAGCGGGUAAUGCCGGGGACUCGUAGGAGACUGCCGGGGUCAACUCGGAGGAAGGUGGGGACGACGUCAAGUCAUCAUGCCCCUUACGUCCAGGGCUGCACACAUGCUACAAUGGCUGGUACAACGGGCUGCUAUCCCGCGAGGGGGAGCCAAUCCCAAAAGCCAGUCUCAGUUCGGAUUGGAGUCUGCAACUCGACUCCAUGAAGUCGGAGUCGCUAGUAAUCCCGGAUCAGCAACGCCGGGGUGAAUACGUUCCCGGGCCUUGUACACACCGAGACGUA
This 443-nucleotide ribosomal RNA is filed under the name uncultured bacterium. RNAcentral describes it as "bacterial SSU rRNA". It matches the Rfam family "Bacterial small subunit ribosomal RNA", at positions 958 to 1398 of the family's 1533-position model. The record is from RNAcentral.